This is a long non-coding RNA of Cucumis melo (muskmelon), 1374 nucleotides long. RefSeq lists it as uncharacterized. Lineage: Eukaryota; Viridiplantae; Streptophyta; Magnoliopsida; Cucurbitales; Cucurbitaceae. The transcript is spliced from 2 exons. The record is from RefSeq and is a predicted model, not a curated record.
GCCCGCGUGUGAAGCCGCGCCCGCGUGUGAAGCCGCGCCGCGCGCUUUUGUGUAGCCGAGCCGCGUCUCCCUGUUGCAAGCCGAGCCGCGUCUCCCCCUGUUGCAAGCCGAGCCGCACGCGAAAUCCCUGUACCGAGCCGAGCCGCGUCUGCCCAAGCCGAGCCGGUCCUGUCUUCUUCCAGCCGAGCCGCCAGGACUAAAUUGGCUCCAUCCACCUAUAUUUUGGUAAGCUAAUUAAUUAUUGUGGUUUUUCCGGUAAGACUCCAUGCUCGGACGUUAGUUAAAUUAAUUUGGAUCUAAAUUAUAUUAUUUUCCUCAAGGGACGUCUUGGACCAAGAAAUUACUGCAGCGCGGGAUUUCCUUCAGUAGGGGCUCGAGCACUGCAACCUCCUUCUAGGUUAGGACUUCGUCGCUUGGAAAGCGUACUGCCUCGCGGUUAGGACUCGACAAGUAGAUCUCCAGGUAAGAGAUUCUACUACUAGUUUCAUGUUUGAAGUAUGAGACUGUGUAUGCCCUAUGUUGCAUAUUGAGAGUUUGACAGUAUGAUGCCUGAAAUAAAUGUUAGUAUGAUGCAAAUGACGAUAUAGUUGUGCUAUAGCCUGUUAUGCGUGGCAAGAUUUAUUAUGGUUACGACGAAUGUCGGGACGGAGAGUGUAGAAAUGAUUUAUGUGACAUGUUAUAUGCUGAUGCCAUGUGUAUGUAUACUGCAAAUUAGGGUACCUGUUAGCUUGAUUCUGUUAGAGUCGUACCUGCAUGGGUGUCCUUCGGGAUCACCACCUAUUGAGGACUGUGUGGUCCGACGGGACGCCAGUCUAGCAUGAUAUAGACAUGACUCGAGUGACUCGACGGGGUCCUCGCAUCCCGACUGUCCUAGGUGUCCCCGGGCACCGAAGACCAGAGUUACGUUCCUACGGGAGCGCAUGAUUGCACGUGUUCGGGAACGUGCCAGAGAUUGGGUACCAGUUAUCAGGACUCUAACAGGAAGUUAACAGGCACCUAGUGGGACUAGUAGUGGGUCCCUUACUGAGUAUUUUUAUACUCAUUCUCUCCACUUUAUGUUUUCAGGUAGAGGACGAGGCAAAGGCAAGGGCAAGCUGGCGAGCGACCCGAAGUGAGACCGAGGAGGGCCAUAGGGACUACCGCUUCCGCUUAUUUCUUAUUUCAGAUUUUAGCAUUUGAGUUUGAGUACUUUUUAUUUUUCACUAUCUUUUAUGUAGAUAGGGCCCGAGUAGGAUUUCAGAACGUUUUUACAUUUUUGCAUGACUACCUUGUUUAUGUUUUUAUAAAUGAAUUUCUUGAACCGUAUGCUUUUAAUAAAAUUUUUAGACUUAAACCACUUGUUCUAUAUUUAGUAAUGACUUCGAUUCAGCAUAA